Molecule: ribosomal RNA, 462 nt
Filed under: uncultured bacterium
Lineage: Bacteria
Description: partial 16S ribosomal RNA
Rfam family: Bacterial small subunit ribosomal RNA
Source: RNAcentral
GACGAACGCCGGCGGCGUGCUUAACACAUGCAAGUCGAACGGAAAGGCCCUUCGGGGUACUCGAGUGGCGAACGGGUGAGUAACACGUGGGUGAUCUGCCCUGCACUUUGGGAUAAGCCUGGGAAACUGGGUCUAAUACCGAAUAGGACCACGCGCUUCAUGGUGUGUGGUGGAAAGCUUUUGCGGUGUGGGAUGGGCCCGCGGCCUAUCAGCUUGUUGGUGGGGUAAUGGCCUACCAAGGCGACGACGGGUAGCCGGCCUGAGAGGGUGACCGGCCACACUGGGACUGAGAUACGGCCCAGACUCCUACGGGAGGCAGCAGUGGGGAAUAUUGCACAAUGGGCGCAAGCCUGAUGCAGCGACGCCGCGUGAGGGAUGACGGCCUUCGGGUUGUAAACCUCUUUCAAUAGGGACGAAGCGCAAGUGACGGUACCUAUAGAAGAAGCACCGGCCAACUACGUG